Molecule: long non-coding RNA, 222 nt
Organism: Bradysia coprophila
Lineage: Eukaryota; Metazoa; Arthropoda; Insecta; Diptera; Sciaridae
Source: RefSeq, a predicted model, not a curated record
CACAGUAUGAAAGAUACGCAUACGCUAAAUAAAUAAAUAAAUAACAGUAUGAAAGAGAAUGCUUGCCCGAAAAUGUGAGAAAAUGGGGAAGAAGCACACCAACAACUAAGAAUACCUGAUUAGAGGUCCUGAGGGGUCCCUCCAUCCAGAACACAAAUCAUUUUUUGGCUACAUUUUCAUAAAACUUCUUUCUUGUUCAGGACCACCGUGCGUUCGAUGAAU